UCUAUUUUGGCAGAAAAGUGCGAUGGAUUUAGAAUCCAUUAAUGUGAGGUUGAUUCUUACAGAUAGAA
RNAcentral lists this transfer RNA (68 nucleotides) under Acroneuria carolinensis. RNAcentral describes it as "tRNA-Leu". It matches the Rfam family "tRNA". From Rfam's summary of the family: Transfer RNA (tRNA) molecules are approximately 80 nucleotides in length. Their secondary structure includes four short double-helical elements and three loops (D, anti-codon, and T loops). Lineage: Eukaryota; Metazoa; Arthropoda; Insecta; Plecoptera; Perlidae. The record is from RNAcentral.